This 68-nucleotide transfer RNA is filed under the name Marmota monax (woodchuck). RNAcentral describes it as "tRNA.Ala". The record is from RNAcentral. Lineage: Eukaryota; Metazoa; Chordata; Mammalia; Rodentia; Sciuridae.
GGAUGUGGCUCAAGUGGUAGCGCGCUUGCCUGGCACGUGUGAGACACUGGGUUCGAUCCUCAGCACCA